RNAcentral lists this long non-coding RNA (512 nucleotides) under Olea europaea subsp. europaea. The record is from RNAcentral. Lineage: Eukaryota; Viridiplantae; Streptophyta; Magnoliopsida; Lamiales; Oleaceae.
CUAGUACAAUAUCCACAAAACAUUACAUUGAUCUGAUAUGCAAACUACUCUAUGAUUACAUUUUUAAGUUCUAAACCCAUUCUUCUAAGAAUUUUGGAGCUGGUUCUUUCAAAAGUCUCUGAUCCAAAUUUCGCCAUUUUAACAUUCAGGCAUCAGAUAAAUAAUAAAUUAACUGUUUGCAAGAUCCAAUUCCUUAUUGAAAUUCUUAGCAAUGACAAUAAAGGAGUUGGCACAACCACUGUAUCUCCCAUCCGUUCUCCACCAAGCAUCUUUAAAUCAAUUCAUUGCCACUAUCAUCUACACCUCGAAUUAAGGGAGGGCGAUUGGCUGACUUUUUAAUCAAUACUGUAUUAAAGGAGUUGACUUUCAUUCAACAAAAGAUUGCGUCUACUCAAACAAAGUAGGUGAAAAAUCACCAUAAAUUUAUUUCUAUUCAUCUGCUUCCUCUAGCCAUUUUAUUAAAAUUAAGUAUCACCUUUUAUAAUUAAAAAGUAAAAUAAUGCCACCCUUUU